RNAcentral lists this ribosomal RNA (253 nucleotides) under uncultured bacterium. RNAcentral's name for it is "partial 16S ribosomal RNA". It matches the Rfam family "Bacterial small subunit ribosomal RNA", at positions 524 to 776 of the family's 1533-position model. The record is from RNAcentral.
GACGUAGGGGGCCAGCGUUGUUCGGAAUUACUGGGUGUAAAGGGUUCGUAGGCGGUGUGGCAAGUCGGGAGUGAAAUCUCUGGGCUCAACUCAGAGACUGCUUCCGAAACUGCUGUGCUGGAGUGUGGGAGAGGCGCGUGGAAUUGCAGGUGUAGCGGUGAAAUGCGUAGAUAUCUGCAGGAACACCCGUGGCGAAAGCGGCGCGCUGGACCACUACUGACGCUGAGGAACGAAAGCUGGGGGAGCAAACAGG